This 497-nucleotide ribosomal RNA is filed under the name uncultured bacterium. Its description in RNAcentral is "partial 16S ribosomal RNA". It matches the Rfam family "Bacterial small subunit ribosomal RNA", at positions 28 to 507 of the family's 1533-position model. The record is from RNAcentral.
GAUGAACGCUGGCGGCGUGCCUAAUACAUGCAAGUCGAGCGAACAGAUAAGGAGCUUGCUCCUUUGACGUUAGCGGCGGACGGGUGAGUAACACGUGGGUAACCUACCUAUAAGACUGGGAUAACUUCGGGAAACCGGAGCUAAUACCGGAUAAUAUUUCGAACCGCAUGGUUCGAUAGUGAAAGAUGGUUUUGCUAUCACUUAUAGAUGGACCCGCGCCGUAUUAGCUAGUUGGUAAGGUAACGGCUUACCAAGGCGACGAUACGUAGCCGACCUGAGAGGGUGAUCGGCCACACUGGAACUGAGACACGGUCCAGACUCCUACGGGAGGCAGCAGUAGGGAAUCUUCCGCAAUGGGCGAAAGCCUGACGGAGCAACGCCGCGUGAGUGAUGAAGGUCUUCGGAUCGUAAAACUCUGUUAUUAGGGAAGAACAUAUGUGUAAGUAACUGUGCACGUCUUGACGGUACCUAAUCAGAAAGCCACGGCUAACUACGUG